RNAcentral lists this ribosomal RNA (441 nucleotides) under uncultured bacterium. RNAcentral describes it as "partial 16S ribosomal RNA". It matches the Rfam family "Bacterial small subunit ribosomal RNA", at positions 338 to 795 of the family's 1533-position model. The record is from RNAcentral.
CCUACGGGAGGCAGCAGUGGGGAAUAUUGCACAAUGGGGGAAACCCUGAUGCAGCAACACCGCGUGAGUGAGGAAGUAUUUCGGUAUGUAAAGCUCUAUCAGCAGGGAAUAGAAAAGAAGGUACCUGAAAAAGAAGCCCCGGCUAACUACGUGCCAGCAACCGCGGUAAUACGUAGGGGGCAAGCGUUAACCGUAUUUACUGGGUGUAAAGGGAGCGUAGACGGAAAGGCAAGUCAGAAGGGAAAGCCCAAGGCUCAACCAUGGGACUGCUUUUGAAACUGGCAAACUGGAGUGUGUGAGGGUAUAGUGGAAUUCCAGGUGUAUGAGUGAAAUCCGUAGAUAUCUGGAGGAACAUCAGUGGCGAAGGCGACUAUCUGGCACAUAACUGACGCUGAGGAGCGAAAGCGUGGGUAGCAAACAGGAUUAGAUACCCUGGUAGUC